Small nucleolar RNA from Caenorhabditis elegans, 177 nucleotides. The record is from Ensembl. Lineage: Eukaryota; Metazoa; Nematoda; Chromadorea; Rhabditida; Rhabditidae.
CCCGGGGAUGAAUGUGUUUACUCGGCAAAAUUGUGUGAGAGAAGCAACCGAUCAGUUUUCUUCUGAUGUCUACGUCUCGAAUGCUCUCGAUUUUUCGCCCAUUCAGUCUCUAAUCACUUUUCUUGGAUCAUGUUCGUGCUGUACAAGUUGGCAUGUUUCGUUAUCAACUGUUUGAUU